RNAcentral lists this ribosomal RNA (483 nucleotides) under uncultured bacterium. RNAcentral's name for it is "partial 16S ribosomal RNA". It matches the Rfam family "Bacterial small subunit ribosomal RNA", at positions 28 to 523 of the family's 1533-position model. The record is from RNAcentral.
GACGAACGCUGGCGGCGUGCUUAACACAUGCAAGUCGAACGAUGAAGCUGGAGCUUGCUCCGGUGGAUUAGUGGCGAACGGGUGAGUAACACGUGAGCAAUCUGCCCUUGACUCUAGGAUAACUGCGGGAAACUGUAGCUAAUACCGGAUACGAGAUUUGGAGGCAUCUCCGGAUCUGGAAAGAAUUUCGGUCAAGGAUGAGCUCGCGGCCUAUCAGAUUGUUGGUGAGGUAAUGGCUCACCAAGGCGACGACGGGUAGCCGGCCUGAGAGGGUGACCGGCCACACUGGGACUGAGACACGGCCCAGACUCCUACGGGAGGCUGCAGUGGGGAAUAUUGCACAAUGGGCGAAAGCCUGAUGCAGCAACGCCGCGUGAGGGAUGAAGGCCUUCGGGUUGUAAACCUCUUUUAGUAGGGAAGAAGCGAAAGUGACGAUACCUACAGAAAAAGCACCGGCUAACUACGUGCCAGCCGCCGCAGUAA